GGCUCAGAUUGAACGCUGGCGGAAUGCUUUACACAUGCAAGUCGAGCGGCAGCGCGGGGCAACCUGGCGGCGAGCGGCGAACGGGUGAGUAAUGCAUCGGAACGUACCCCGUCGUGGGGGAUAACUACCCGAAAGGGUAGCUAAUACCGCAUACGACCUGAGGGUGAAAGCGGGGGACCGAAAGGCCUCGCGCGAUGGGAGCGGCCGAUGCCGGAUUAGCUAGUUGGUAAGGUAAAGGCCUACCAAGGCGACGAUCCGUAGCUGGUCUGAGAGGAUGAUCAGCCACACUGGAACUGAGACACGGUCCAGACUCCUACGGGAGGCAGCAGUGGGGAAUAUUGCGCAAUGGGCGAAAGCCUGACGCAGCCACGCCGCGUGAGCGAUGAAGGCCUUCGGGUCGUAAAGCUCUGUGGGGAGAGAAGAAUAAAGCCUGUGAAGAGCAGGCCUUGACGGUAUCUCCUUAGCAAGCACCGGCUAACUCCGUG
This 485-nucleotide ribosomal RNA is filed under the name uncultured bacterium. RNAcentral's name for it is "bacterial SSU rRNA". It matches the Rfam family "Bacterial small subunit ribosomal RNA", at positions 21 to 507 of the family's 1533-position model. The record is from RNAcentral.